CGGGGUGAGUAACGCGUGGAUAACCUGCCUUACACUGGGGGAGUAACACUUAGAAAUAGGUGCUAAUACCGCAUAAGCGCACAGAGCCGCAUGGCUCAGUGUGAAAAACUCCGGUGGUGUAAGAUGGAUCCGCGUCUGAUUAGCUGGUUGGCGGGGUAGAAGCCCACCAAGGCGACGAUCAGUAGCCGGCCUGAGAGGGUGAACGGCCACAUUGGGACUGAGACACGGCCCAAACUCCUACGGAAGGCAGCAG
RNAcentral lists this ribosomal RNA (253 nucleotides) under uncultured bacterium. Its description in RNAcentral is "partial 16S ribosomal RNA". It matches the Rfam family "Bacterial small subunit ribosomal RNA", at positions 100 to 354 of the family's 1533-position model. The record is from RNAcentral.